This 384-nucleotide ribosomal RNA is filed under the name uncultured bacterium. RNAcentral's name for it is "bacterial SSU rRNA". It matches the Rfam family "Bacterial small subunit ribosomal RNA", at positions 29 to 414 of the family's 1533-position model. The record is from RNAcentral.
AUUGAACGCUGGCGGCAUGCUUUACACAUGCAAGUCGAGCGGCAGCGCGAGGGCAACCUUGGCGGCGAGCGGCGAACGGGUGAGUAACACAUCGGAACGUACCCAGGAGUGGGGGAUAGCCCGGCGAAAGCCGGAUUAAUACCGCAUACGAUCUGUGGAUGAAAGCGGGGACCUGGCAACAGGCCUUGCGCUCAUGGAGCGGCCGAUGUCCGAUUAGCUAGNGGUGGGGUAAAGGCCUACCAAGGCGACGAUCGGUAGCUGGUCUGAGAGGAUGAUCAGCCACACUGGGACUGAGACACGGCCCAGACUCCUACGGGAGGCAGCAGUGGGAAUUUUGGACAAUGGGGCAACCCUGAUCCAGCCAUGCCGCGUGCGGGAAGAAGG